RNAcentral lists this ribosomal RNA (375 nucleotides) under uncultured organism. RNAcentral describes it as "partial 16S ribosomal RNA". It matches the Rfam family "Bacterial small subunit ribosomal RNA", at positions 526 to 896 of the family's 1533-position model. The record is from RNAcentral.
GUAGGGGGGCGAGCGUUGUCCGGGAAUUAUUGGGGCGUAAAGGGCGCGUAGGCGGAUGGUUAAGUCCGAUGUGAAAGAUCAGGGGCUCAACCCUGAGGGUGCAUCGGAAACUGGGCAUCUUGAGGACAGGAGAGGAAAGUGGAAUUCCACGUGUAGCGGUGAAAUGCGUAGAUAUGUGGAGGAACACCAGUGGCGAAGGCGACUUUCUGGACUGUAACUGACGCUGAGGCGCGAAAGCGUGGGGAGCAAACAGGAUUAGAUACCCUGGUAGUCCACGCCGUAAACGAUGAGUGCUAGGUGUAGAGGGUAUCGACCCCUUCUGCGCCGCAGUUAACACAAUAAGCACUCCGCCUGGGGAGUACGGCCGCAAGGUUG